CAGUCGCCGCGGUAAUACAGAGGGUGCGAGCGUUAAUCGGAUUUACUGGGCGUAAAGCGUGCGUAGGCGGCUAAUUGAGUCGGAUGUGAAAUACCCGAGCUUAACUUGGGAAUUGCAUUCGAUACUGGUUAGCUAGAGUGUGGGAGAGGAUGGUAGAAUUCCAGGUGUAGCGGUGAAAUGCGUAGAGAUCUGGAGGAAUACCGAUGGCGAAGGCAGCCAUCUGGCCUAACACUGACGCUGAGGUACGAAAGCAUGGGGAGCAAACAGGAUUAGAUACCCCGGUAGUCCCUGUCUCUUAUAC
Molecule: ribosomal RNA, 301 nt
Filed under: uncultured bacterium
Lineage: Bacteria
Description: partial 16S ribosomal RNA
Rfam family: Bacterial small subunit ribosomal RNA
Source: RNAcentral